CAGGUAUAAAAUAUUUUGCAAGGCAGCUUACGCACAGUUGAAAGCAAGCACCCAGUCAGACUUCACGGCAAAAAGAUGGGCAGAAGCGCUCGAAGCUGCUAUUUCUGCAGUUAGUAAAUAUGGGGGAGCUAGUGCCGGCUAUCGCACUUUGUUAGAUGCGCUUAUUCCAGCAUCAGUAGUUCUCAAGGAGAGGUUAGACGCGGGUGAUGACCCUGUUACUGCAGUUCUUCUCUCUUCUGAAGCAGCAUUGGCCGGAGCUGAGUCAACUCAACACAUGCAAG
Molecule: long non-coding RNA, 281 nt
Organism: Morus notabilis
Lineage: Eukaryota; Viridiplantae; Streptophyta; Magnoliopsida; Rosales; Moraceae
Exons: 3
Source: RefSeq, a predicted model, not a curated record